This 497-nucleotide ribosomal RNA is filed under the name uncultured bacterium. RNAcentral's name for it is "partial 16S ribosomal RNA". It matches the Rfam family "Bacterial small subunit ribosomal RNA", at positions 28 to 507 of the family's 1533-position model. The record is from RNAcentral.
GAUGAACGCUGGCGGCGUGCCUAAUACAUGCAAGUCGAGCGAACGGACGAGAAGCUUGCUUCUCUGAUGUUAGCGGCGGACGGGUGAGUAACACGUGGAUAACCUACCUAUAAGACUGGGAUAACUUCGGGAAACCGUAGCUAAUACCGGAUAAUAUUUUGAACCGCAUGGUUCAAAAGUGAAAGACGGUCUUGCUGUCACUUAUAGAUGGAUCCGCGCUGCAUUAGCUAGUUGGUAAGGUAACGGCUUACCAAGGCAACGAUGCAUAGCCGACCUGAGAGGGUGAUCGGCCACACUGGAACUGAGACACGGUCCAGACUCCUACGGGAGGCAGCAGUAGGGAAUCUUCCGCAAAGGGCGAAAGCCUGACGGAGCAACGCCGCGUGAGUGAUGAAGGUCUUCGGAUCGUAAAACUCUGUUAUUAGGGAAGAACAUAUGUGUAAGUAACUGUGCACAUCUUGACGGUACCUAAUCAGAAAGCCACGGCUAACUUCGUG